GACGAACGCUGGCGGCGUGCUUAACACAUGCAAGUCGAACGGAAAGGCCCUGCUUUUGUGGGGUGCUCGAGUGGCGAACGGGUGAGUAACACGUGAGUAACCUGCCCUUGACUUUGGGAUAACUUCAGGAAACCGGGGCUAAUACCGGAUAGGAGCUCCUGCUGCAUGGUGGGGGUUGGAAAGUUUCGGCGGUUGGGGAUGGACUCGGGGCUUAUCAGCUUGUUGGUGGGGUAGUGGCUUACCAAGGCUUUGGCGGGUAGCCGGCCUGAGAGGGUGACCGGCCACAUUGGGACUGAGAUACGGCCCAGACUCCUACGGGAGGCAGCAGUGGGGAAUAUUGCACAAUGGGCGGAAGCCUGAUGCAGCAACGCCGCGUGCGGGAUGACGGCCUUCGGGUUGUAAACCGCUUUCGCCUGUGACGAAGCGUGAGUGACGGUAAUGGGUAAAGAAGCACCGGCUAACUACGUG
RNAcentral lists this ribosomal RNA (468 nucleotides) under uncultured bacterium. Its description in RNAcentral is "partial 16S ribosomal RNA". It matches the Rfam family "Bacterial small subunit ribosomal RNA", at positions 28 to 507 of the family's 1533-position model. The record is from RNAcentral.